This 253-nucleotide ribosomal RNA is filed under the name uncultured bacterium. RNAcentral describes it as "partial 16S ribosomal RNA". It matches the Rfam family "Bacterial small subunit ribosomal RNA", at positions 524 to 776 of the family's 1533-position model. The record is from RNAcentral.
UACGGAGGGUGCAAGCGUUAUCCGGAAUCACUGGGUUUAAAGGGUGCGUAGGCGGCUUGGUAAGUCAGAGCUGAAAGCCCGCAGCUUAACUGCGGAACUGCCUUUGAUACUGCCGAGCUUGAAAGAGGUUGAGGUCAGCGGAACGUGACAUGUAGCGGUUAAAUGCAUAGAUAUGUCACAGAACACCAAUUGCGAAGGCAGCUGGCUGGGCCUACUUUGACGCUGAGGCACGAAAGCGUGGGGAGCGAACAGG